RNAcentral lists this transfer RNA (75 nucleotides) under Magnetospirillum sp. RNAcentral describes it as "tRNA-Val". It matches the Rfam family "tRNA". From Rfam's summary of the family: Transfer RNA (tRNA) molecules are approximately 80 nucleotides in length. Their secondary structure includes four short double-helical elements and three loops (D, anti-codon, and T loops). RNAcentral also lists the same sequence under 1 other name. Lineage: Bacteria; Pseudomonadati; Pseudomonadota; Alphaproteobacteria; Rhodospirillales; Rhodospirillaceae. The record is from RNAcentral.
GGGCGAUUAGCUCAGCGGGAGAGCACUCCCUUCACACGGGAGGGGUCACAAGUUCAAUCCUUGUAUCGCCCACCA